Molecule: ribosomal RNA, 497 nt
Filed under: uncultured bacterium
Lineage: Bacteria
Description: partial 16S ribosomal RNA
Rfam family: Bacterial small subunit ribosomal RNA
Source: RNAcentral
GAUGAACGCUGGCGGCGUGCCUAAUACAUGCAAGUCGAGCGAACAGACGAGGAGCUUGCUCCUCUGACGUUAGCGGCGGACGGGUGAGUAACACGUGGAUAACCUACCUAUAAGACUGGGAUAACUUCGGGAAACCGGAGCUAAUACCGGAUAAUAUAUUGAACCGCAUGGUUCAAUAGUGAAAGACGGUUUUGCUGUCACUUAUAGAUGGAUCCGCGCCGCAUUAGCUAGUUGGUAAGGUAACCGCUUACCAAGGCAACGAUGCGUAGCCGACCUGAGAGGGUGAUCGGCCACACUGGAACUGAGACACGGUCCAGACUCCUACGGGAGGCAGCAGUAGGGAAUCUUCCGCAAUGGGCGAAAGCUUGACGGAGCAACGCCGCGUGAGUGAUGAAGGUCUUCGGAUCGUAAAACUCUGUUAUUAGGGAAGAACAAAUGUGUAAGUAACUAUGCACGUCUUGACGGUACCUAAUCAGAAAGCCACGGCUAACUACGUG